GCCGGAGUGGUGAAACUGGUAGACGCACUGGACUCAAAAUCCAGCGAGGGCAACCUCAUGUCGGUUCGAUUCCGACCUCCGGCACCA
Molecule: transfer RNA, 87 nt
Filed under: Acetispira formosa (nom. nud.)
Lineage: Bacteria; Deltaproteobacteria; Acetispirales (nom. nud.)
Description: Deltaproteobacteria bacterium Smac51 tRNA-Leu
Rfam family: tRNA
About the family: Transfer RNA (tRNA) molecules are approximately 80 nucleotides in length. Their secondary structure includes four short double-helical elements and three loops (D, anti-codon, and T loops).
Source: RNAcentral